This is a non-coding RNA of Vicia faba (fava bean), 162 nucleotides long. The record is from the annotation of a GenBank genome assembly. Lineage: Eukaryota; Viridiplantae; Streptophyta; Magnoliopsida; Fabales; Fabaceae.
AUGAUUCAUUUUCAAUACUUGACCAUUCACAGUUCAUACUUAUGCCAGUUUCACUUUUCUUACUUUUAUACCAAUUUUGGUGCACUUUUCAGUACUAAUGCUAUGCUGUCCGGAAAUGCCAUAUUAUGUUCAAGUGACUUGCCUAUUUUGUAUUGUACAUAA